This 512-nucleotide ribosomal RNA is filed under the name Actinomycetota bacterium. RNAcentral's name for it is "bacterial SSU rRNA". It matches the Rfam family "Bacterial small subunit ribosomal RNA", at positions 1 to 524 of the family's 1533-position model. The record is from RNAcentral. Lineage: Bacteria; Bacillati; Actinomycetota.
UUCACGGAGAGUUUGAUCCUGGCUCAGGACGAACGCUGGCGGCGUGCUUAACACAUGCAAGUCGAGCGAGGCCCCUUCCUUCGGGGAGGGAGCCCUAGCGGCGAACGGGUGAGUAACACGUGGGCAAUCUGCCCCUAGCACUGGGAUAACCCCGGGAAACCGGGGCUAAUACCGGAUAUGAUCUCUGAGGGCAUCCUCCGGAGAUGGAAAAGAUUCUGGCUAGGGAUGAGCCCGCGGCCUAUCAGCUUGUUGGCGGGGUAAUGGCCCACCAAGGCGACGACGGGUAGCCGGCCUGAGAGGGCGACCGGCCACACUGGGACUGAGACACGGCCCAUACUCCUACGGGAGGCAGCAGUGGGGAAUAUUGCACAAUGGGCGAAAGCCGGAUGCAGCGACGCCGCGUGAGGGAUGACGGCCUUCGGGUUGUAAACCUCUUUCAGCUCCGACGAAGCGAAAGUGACGGUAGGAGCAGAAGAAGCACCGGCCAACUACGUGCCAGCAGCCGCGGUAAU